This 258-nucleotide ribosomal RNA is filed under the name uncultured bacterium. RNAcentral describes it as "partial 16S ribosomal RNA". It matches the Rfam family "Bacterial small subunit ribosomal RNA", at positions 524 to 776 of the family's 1533-position model. The record is from RNAcentral.
GACAGAGGAUGCAAGCGUUAUCCGGAAUGAUUGGGCGUAAAGCGUCUGUAGGUGGCUUUUUAAAGUCCGCCGUCAAAUCCCAGGGCUCAACCCUGGACAGGCGGUGGGAAACUACCCAAGCUGGAGUACGGUAGGGGCAGAGGGAAUUCCGGUGGAGCGGUGAAAUGCGUAGAGAUACGGAAAGAAACACCCAACGGCGAAAGCACUCUGCUGGGCCGACACUGACACUGAGAGACGAAAGCUAGGGGAGCGAAUGGG